CAACACCCUCGGGGUGGCCCAAACUGCGACCCCCCCGGUCCCCCGGCUGUGGGGUCUCAGCUGCUCCCUGGGACCCCCGGGAAGGGAAAGGGCCGCGGCGGCCGAACUCGUUUCACCGCUGCGGCAGCGCGGUCACGAGGCCAUUCCUGUCGCCGCUGUCACCGCGGCCGUGCCGCUCGUGUGACCGGUGUGUCAGCCGCGGCCGUGUCACGGGGUGGGAGGGGUCACAGCCCCCCCGGACCCCCCAAAAUCCCCCCCUGCCCCCCGCAGGGAGCGCAGCCCCCCCGAGCUCACCCGGCCGGGGCCAUCCCCGCACCGACAGCGCGGGAUAAUUAAACCAGGAGACGGAUGAGGAGCCUACGGCACAGACACCGACCACUUCCUAAGGACGGGCUGGGAAAAACCUGGAUUGGAGUUUGGCAACGAGAUCAGAGUUUGGCAAAUAAUAAUAAUUAAUAAUAAUAAUAAUGAAUGAGCAUUUGAAUGAUCGACCGGAGAGAAGGAGAAAACGAGGAGAGCCAAGGAUCCCACGUGGGCUCGGAGUAAAUGAAUUAUUGGGAUUUUGUUAAAUAAAGGUGGAUUUUUAAGGAUUUUGGGGGGGGAAAUAAAAAGGGGCAUUUGGGAGAGCCAGAGGCUCCGGGGUGUCCCGGCUCCAUCCCCAGACAGGGAGGGAGGGCGAGGCAAAGGGAGGGAAGCUGGAACAGGAGCAAUGUUUCCCUGGCCCUUUUAUUCCCAGAUUUCUAUUUUUGGCACUGGCUUCACCACAUCCCAUAAAGAAAGGCCGGACAGAUCUGGGCAUGUGGUUAAAUCCCAAAAAAAAAGGCUUUUGUGGAGCUGGGCUCCAGCUCCUUCUGCUCCCCCUUCCAGCACUUAAAAAGUUCUGAAAAGUCUUUUUUUUGUAUUUUUUUUUCAAAUUUUUUUAAAAUAAAUUUAUUUGGCAAAUGCACUAAACAAAGUACAAGCAACUACUGGGAAUCUGCACUUCUAUUUCUGCCAUACAAAAACACCCACA
Molecule: long non-coding RNA, 1012 nt
Organism: Passer montanus (Eurasian tree sparrow)
Lineage: Eukaryota; Metazoa; Chordata; Aves; Passeriformes; Passeridae
Exons: 2
Source: RefSeq, a predicted model, not a curated record